Molecule: ribosomal RNA, 1073 nt
Filed under: Penicillium corylophilum
Lineage: Eukaryota; Fungi; Ascomycota; Eurotiomycetes; Eurotiales; Aspergillaceae
Description: SSU rRNA
Rfam family: Eukaryotic small subunit ribosomal RNA
Source: RNAcentral
GCAUGUCUAAGUAUAAGCACUUUAUACUGUGAAACUGCGAAUGGCUCAUUAAAUCAGUUAUCGUUUAUUUGAUAGUACCUUACUACAUGGAUACCUGUGGUAAUUCUAGAGCUAAUACAUGCUAAAAACCCCGACUUCAGGAAGGGGUGUAUUUAUUAGAUAAAAAACCAACGCCCUUCGGGGCUCCUUGGUGAAUCAUAAUAACUUAACGAAUCGCAUGGCCUUGCGCCGGCGAUGGUUCAUUCAAAUUUCUGCCCUAUCAACUUUCGAUGGUAGGAUAGUGGCCUACCAUGGUGGCAACGGGUAACGGGGAAUUAGGGUUCGAUUCCGGAGAGGGAGCCUGAGAAACGGCUACCACAUCCAAGGAAGGCAGCAGGCGCGCAAAUUACCCAAUCCCGAUACGGGGAGGUAGUGACAAUAAAUACUGAUACGGGGCUCUUUUGGGUCUCGUAAUUGGAAUGAGAACAAUUUAAAUCCCUUAACGAGGAACAAUUGGAGGGCAAGUCUGGUGCCAGCAGCCGCGGUAAUUCCAGCUCCAAUAGCGUAUAUUAAAGUUGUUGCAGUUAAAAAGCUCGUAGUUGAACCUUGGCUCUGGCUGGCCGGUCCGCCUCACCGCGAGUACUGGUCCGGCUGGAGCUUUCCUUCUGGGGAACCUCAUGGCCUUCACUGGCUGUGGGGGGAACCAGGACUUUUACUGUGAAAAAAUUAGAGUGUUCAAAGCAGGCCUUUGCUCGAAUACAUUAGCAUGGAAUAAUAGAAUAGGACGUGCGGUUCUAUUUUGUUGGUUUCUAGGACCGCCGUAAUGAUUAAUAGGGAUAGUCGGGGGCGUCAGUAUUCAGCUGUCAGAGGUGAAAUUCUUGGAUUUGCUGAAGACUAACUACUGCGAAAGCAUUCGCCAAGGAUGUUUUCAUUAAUCAGGGAACGAAAGUUAGGGGAUCGAAGACGAUCAGAUACCGUCGUAGUCUUAACCAUAAACUAUGCCGACUAGGGAUCGGACGGGAUUCUAUUAUGACCCGUUCGGCACCUUACGAGAAAUCAAAGUUUUUGGGNNCUGGGGGGGAGUAUNGNNCGCA